UGUAGAGUGCCUGUGAGGCUGAAGUGAAACAGUGUAACAUGCCUUCCACCUGAGAACCACCUAACCACUGGCGUUGCAUAUGCCAAUAGUUCAUUUCUUCCUAUUGGUCUGGAAACACUGCAGUACUUUGUGAGUGGGAGCAGGGCUCCUCAUCGUUGUUCUGGAGGCUCGUUCCUUGGAGCUGGCUUUGAGAUCUGCAACAGUAUGUUCGGCAGGACAUGCAUUCAGAUGUUCUGUAAUAUAUAAAGCUUGUUUUAAAAUAAUUAAUCUUAUUGGUGGG
Molecule: long non-coding RNA, 280 nt
Filed under: Bos mutus (wild yak)
Lineage: Eukaryota; Metazoa; Chordata; Mammalia; Artiodactyla; Bovidae
Description: lncRNA (ENSBMUG00000001244.1)
Source: RNAcentral